Molecule: long non-coding RNA, 1111 nt
Filed under: Apteryx rowi (Okarito brown kiwi)
Lineage: Eukaryota; Metazoa; Chordata; Aves; Apterygiformes; Apterygidae
Description: lncRNA (ENSARWG00000009577.1)
Source: RNAcentral
AUACUUUUGAUCAUACUGUUAGAGACAGAGCAUCAAUUCACUGCUUUUGGUGACUUAAUUAGAAAUAGAUUUAAGCCCUUUCUCUUAAAACCUAAUUUGAAAUGCUACAGGUGUUUUCCUUAUCUUCACAGCUCUCAUCUGCCAGCCCCUAGCUACAUGGCAAUUAAAGCUUGCAUUUCUUUCCUAAUGCCAAAAGAUAACCUCAGUCUCUUGGUUUGAUUCUUUGGUUAUGUCUCUCUGGUGUGAUGCAAUGAUGAGUAGGUGGAUCCUUAGUGCAACAAGCUGGAGCUGCAAUGUGGACCUCCCAGUGCAUUCUCUGAGGUCACAUGGAAAACUUUCCCAAGAGUUAAAAUUCAUCAAAAGCUAUCCUGGAAAAAGUUUCUGGAAAAAAUAUUGAAGGUAUGAGCACCAGUUCACCUGCUUCUCCUCACCACAGUAACAGCUACUGCUUGAAACUCCUGCUUACCCCUCUCCCACAAGCCUUGGCAAACUGGGCUGCAGCAUUCAUUCAGCAGGCACCAGCAUGCCUCAGACCUGCCCCUGAGGAAAGUCUUCAUGCAGGAAGCUCUUGAAGAACAAUCCCUUGUAUCGGUGGGACCGGCAAUAGAUUCGAGUCAUCUGAUGUGCAAGAUUAUUUGCUCUGCCAUAGCCAAUUUCAUAUUGACAGCAACCAACACYAGUGUUGAAGUUGGGUGACAUCAACAUUCAGUAUCUGAGCUGCCAGUCCUCCCCCCCUUUUUUUUUUUUGAAGAUCGGCAAAAGAACGUAUAGGGACCUCCCUUGCCUGAGAGGCACAGAGCUGGGUAAGUGGAUAUUUUUGCAAAUUUUUUAAAGAACAUCCUCAGCUUCAAUCUGACAACACAAAACUGAUAUGUUCCUCUUCUCUCCUAGGAGUGGAAAUGUGAGGUCCAACCAGAAGCCACCCAGUGGAAACAGCCCCCUGAGCCGUUCCUCUUGGCACUUUCCGUCGGUGGUGUCGUGUGCCUUAUCUCCGAGUCUCAGCACGCCGGCUCCCUCCUGGACCUCAGUCCGUUUGUCUGCCGAUAAAUGCUUUCCCAUCUGGUUUUGGCUCCACACUGGAUUUCUCCCGGACCUUGAAAGCAGUGAAUAG